Molecule: long non-coding RNA, 989 nt
Filed under: Olea europaea (common olive)
Lineage: Eukaryota; Viridiplantae; Streptophyta; Magnoliopsida; Lamiales; Oleaceae
Description: long non-coding RNA (OEUR_LNC011531)
Source: RNAcentral
AUUUUUGUAUUGUUCAAUGUUGUAAAAAUAUGAUUGUUUCUUAUUUGAUCAUAUAUGUAAUUUUAUUGAUCAAGUGAUGCAAAUAUUGGCUUUCCAGGAUAUAUUAUACGUCAUUACUUUUUGCUGGAGGAAAUCUUUCUUUUUUUCUUCUCAUUAUUUGCGUUCACUACAUUCAAGUGCUUUAAGUUUGAAGUGUCCCAACUAGGUUAAAUUUUGGGACUUGCCAUCUAUAUUUUCCGUUUUAGUUGGUGUGAGUAUUUAUUUGCAUGAAGUUGACACAGUAUUUUUACUCUCUUUACGAUCACUUUCCUUUCGUUCUUACUAACUAAUUCAAAGUUAUAUAAAAUAUUAAAGAUACCUUUAAAUUUUCUUCAUAUGCGUAUAAAAUCCUACAACCACCUUGUUUCACCAUUUUCAUCUUCACCUUGCCUCUCAACGCCACCACUUCGACCAACUAGAAGUUCUAUAAUGGCAAAUAGUGAGAGACGGGGAGGUAGGGGGUGAUCAACAUGGUGACAAUCGAGAUGGAAGUAUGAAUGUGAUGGUUGAUGACAAUAUUGGACUAAGUUGGUAUUAUUCUUAAGAAUUAAAUGAAAAUUUAUUGAAGAAUCAUUAUAAAAUUUAUAUUUAUAUUUAAGAGCAUUAAUAGAUAUUACUGUCUUUUAUAAGCCGCCUUGCAUAUGAUCCUUUUCUGCCCUCCAAUGUCAAACUUCUAUAGUGGUGAACCAGUCAUCAACAUGCCAUAUUUUUAGUUUUAUCCAAACCCAUCUGGUUAAGGGUCAGGUUUCAACCCAAAUCAUGAAGGAUUUUGCUGUUUCUGCCGGGAUUAAAUCUCGGGAUUAGAUCCAGAAUCGAGGUGGCGCGACCUCGACCCUGAAUUUGAAUUUUAAAAAUUCAAAUUGAGGGUUGAGGUCAUGCCACCUUGACCCCUAGAUCUAAUCCCUGUCCCCCGUUUUUGCAGCAGAACCCAAUCAUGAAUGGGUUAAGCC